GACAGAGGGUGCAAACGUUGUUCGGAAUUACUGGGCGUAAAGCGCGUGUAGGCGGCCAUCUGAGUCGGGCGUGAAAUCCCACGGCUCAACCGUGGAAGUGCACUCGAAACUGGAUGGCUAGAGUCCUGGAGAGGAAGGUGGAAUGCUUGGUGUAGAGGUGAAAUUCGUAGAUAUCAAGCGGAACACCGGUGGCGAAGGCGGCCUUCUGGACAGUGACUGACGCUGAGACGCGAAAGCGUGGGGAGCAAACAGG
This 253-nucleotide ribosomal RNA is filed under the name uncultured bacterium. RNAcentral's name for it is "partial 16S ribosomal RNA". It matches the Rfam family "Bacterial small subunit ribosomal RNA", at positions 524 to 776 of the family's 1533-position model. The record is from RNAcentral.